Perca fluviatilis (European perch) is the source of this 402-nucleotide long non-coding RNA. RefSeq lists it as uncharacterized. The record is from RefSeq and is a predicted model, not a curated record. NCBI's taxonomy places the organism in Eukaryota, Metazoa, Chordata, Actinopteri, Perciformes, Percidae. The transcript is spliced from 3 exons.
UUGUGUGUGUGUGUGUGUAGACUUUGUCCCGGCUGCAGGAAGUCACCAUCACACCGCCGUCGCCGCGACGACCCGAGGACCUUCAGACCUACCUGAAACAGUCGAAGACACGCAGCCUCCGACGUGUUACAAUGGACUGACCGCCGUCUUCUGUGGACGAGGGUGGGGGGGACAGCCUUCUGGCUCCACCCUCUCCACAGGAUCAGCCAAUCAGAAGACAGGUGGGCGAGAAACCGACAGAAGAUGUGAUCAUCGUACAUAAUUAACCAGAUGAACUGUGACAUGUUGUUGACUCGUGGUUUAUAGAAUUAUAAAAUAUACAUGUAUAUGUCAACACUUUACAUUGAUCAAAGCUACAUUUCUGUAAAUAAUACUUUUAUCAAUAAAAUCUCAGUCACAAGA